This 480-nucleotide ribosomal RNA is filed under the name uncultured Pelotomaculum sp. RNAcentral describes it as "bacterial SSU rRNA". It matches the Rfam family "Bacterial small subunit ribosomal RNA", at positions 905 to 1382 of the family's 1533-position model. The record is from RNAcentral. Lineage: Bacteria; Bacillati; Bacillota; Clostridia; Eubacteriales; Desulfotomaculaceae.
UUAGAAGUUGACGGGGGCCGCGACAAGCGGUGGAGCAUGUGGUUUAAUUCGACGCAACGCGAAGAACCUUACCAGGCUUGACACUCCCUGACCGCGUAUGAAAGUACGUUUUCACCCUCGGGUGACAGGGAGACAGGUGGUGCAUGGUUGUCGUCAGCUCGUGUCGUGAGAUGUUGGGUUAAGUCCCGCAACGAGCGCAACCCCUACGUUUAGUUGCUAACAGGUGAAGCUGAGCACUCUAGACGAACUGCCGUUGACAAAACGGAGGAAGGUGGGAUGACGUCAAAUCAUCAUGCCCCUUAUGUUCUGGGCUACACACGUGCUACAAUGGCCGGUACAGACGGAGGCGAAGCCGCGAGGCGGAGCAAAUCCGAAAAAGCCGGUCUCAGUUCGGAUUGCAGGCUGCAAUUCGCCUGCAUGAAGUCGGAAUCGCUAGUAAUCGCAGGUCAGCAUACUGCGGUGAAUACGUUCCCGGGCCUU